RNAcentral lists this ribosomal RNA (468 nucleotides) under uncultured bacterium. RNAcentral's name for it is "partial 16S ribosomal RNA". It matches the Rfam family "Bacterial small subunit ribosomal RNA", at positions 28 to 507 of the family's 1533-position model. The record is from RNAcentral.
GACGAACGCUGGCGGCGUGCUUAACACAUGCAAGUCGAACGGAAAGGCCCUGCUUUUGUGGGGUGCUCGAGUGGCGCACGGGUGAGUAACACGUGAGUACCCUGCCCUUGACUUUGAGAUAACUUCAGGACACUGGGGCUCAUACCAGAUAGGAGCUCCUGCUGCAUGGUGGGGGUUGGAUAGUUUCGGCGGUUGGGGGUGGACUCGCGGCUUAUCGGCUUGUUGGUGGGGUAGUGGCUUACCAAGGCUUGGACGGGUAGGCGGCCGGAGAGGGUGACCGGCCACAGUGGCAGUGAGAUACGGCCGAGACCCCUGCGGGAGGGAGGAGGGGGGAAUUGUGCACAAGGGGCGGAAGUCUUAUGCAGCAACGCCGCGUGCGGGAUGGCGGCCUGCGGGUUUGAAACCGCUUUCGCAUGUGACGGAGCGUGAGUGACGGUAAUGGGUGAAGAAGCACCGGCUAACUACGUG